GUUUAAAAUAUAUCGAUUUAGUAUCAUGUGGUUUCAUUUUUAUCUUUUUAUUAUCGAUUUCACUAAUUUUUUUUUAAAAUCAGUGACAAAGUUAAAACUAAAGGGUACUAAAGUGAAUAUUUGAUAAACCUAGUUAGGAUAUCUGAAGUUUUUUGUAUAUAAUUUAACAAAAUAUUAACAGAAAAACUGACGAAAAGAUAAAAAGAAAGUUACAGGACACUAAUUUGAUACACUUUAAACUAUAAGGUAUUAAAAUGAGAAAAUACGAAACCACAUGAGUGGUAUUUGACGCUUACCAUUUAUUUUUUAGAAAUGAACUUAGCUGGAAAUGUAAAUCAAUUCUGAUUCGAACUUGGGACCUCGGAUACCAAUCACUGUGUCCUUUGCCACUUGCAUUAGGGACGGUCGGUAUCCAAGCUGGCAUUUCCAUAUACAAAUGGAUAAGAGUAUAGGCUGCUAAUUAAGAGUCCAUAUGCUACUAAUAAAAGAGUAAGUAAUUGAUACGGCAAUUGUUUAUAUAUUCUUGAAAAGUUUUCGAAUUUUCGAUUUACUUUUCUUAGAAAGUUAAUAUUAAACAUAUUCUUUUUAUUUUCCAAGUUAUUUCAAAUAUAUCUCUAGAGUUAAAUUAUAUUAGUGAACUGUUAACAAUAGUUGUUAUCUCUGUAAAAUUAUUAUUUUAUCAUUUUUAAUAUAUCCUUCUAUCAUUGCCAACUUUUCUUAUUUGCUCUUAAGCUAAGGGCAAAAUAGAUAUUUUGAUUUUUUUUUAACUCUGAUAGAUAUUUAACUUACGUUUAAUCUAAAAUAACUUAACAGGUGGUAAUUAUGCGGUUAUUUUUGAAUAACGAAAAAAAAUAUGAGGAGUAUAUUGAAAACAAAAAAAAAAUGGAGAUAAUAUAUUUUCGAAGUUUUGAGAGAUAUAUAGACAAUUACCCCUAAUUGAUAUAUAGAGUGAGGCUACUAUGCUUCUGAAAGUAUGGAGCCUUUCGUAAUUCCAUGUCGUUUUUCAUGUUGCGACUUUCGAAUUGUUGAUCGGCUCCGUUAAACUUGAUCUAGAGUAUUUGAAGUACCUAAAAAAUAAAUUUUUUCGAUAUUAUUUGCCUAGUGAACGAAGGGGCUUAAAAUCAACGGCUGAAAAUAAAAAUCUUACAAAACGUGAUAAUAUGACAUUAAAAUUUUAGAUCAAAGAUAUUGAUCUUGUUUUAUAUAGUAUAAAGAAUUUUCUAUCAAAAUUUCACGUGAUUUGGAUAUUUCUAUACCGUUAAACUUGCAAACGGCUCACUACGACCAUUAAAAUUAUUGAUUUUGAGCCCCUUCGAUCACUAGGCAAAUAAUAUCGAAAAAUCAUAAAGUUUAUUUUCUAGGUACUUCAAAUACUCUAGAUCAAGUUUAACGGAGCAGAUCGACGAUUCGAAAGUCGCAAUAUCGAAAAUGACCUGAAAGCAUGAAAGGCUUCGUACUUCUAAAAGCAUAGUAGCCUCACUCUAUACUUACUAUCCAAACUUAAUAGUUUAAGU
RNAcentral lists this long non-coding RNA (1514 nucleotides) under Ananas comosus (pineapple). RNAcentral describes it as "long non-coding RNA (ACOM_LNC000272)". Lineage: Eukaryota; Viridiplantae; Streptophyta; Magnoliopsida; Poales; Bromeliaceae. The record is from RNAcentral.